RNAcentral lists this ribosomal RNA (1422 nucleotides) under Nesterenkonia sp. 8(1). RNAcentral's name for it is "bacterial SSU rRNA". It matches the Rfam family "Bacterial small subunit ribosomal RNA". The record is from RNAcentral. Lineage: Bacteria; Bacillati; Actinomycetota; Actinomycetes; Micrococcales; Micrococcaceae.
UAAGGGGGGAGCUUAAAUGCAGUCGAACGAUGAAGACCGUGCUUGCACGGUUGGAUUAGUGGCGAACGGGUGAGUAUCACGUGAGUAACCUUCCCUUAACUCUGGGAUAAGCCCGGGAAACUGGGUCUAAUACCGGAUACGACCAGUCCUCGCAUGGGGUGCUGGUGGAAAGAUUUAUCGGUUUUGGAUGGACUCGCGGCCUAUCAGCUUGUUGGUGAGGUAAAGGCUCACCAAGGCGAUGACGGGUAGCCGGCCUGAGAGGGUGACCGGCCACACUGGGACUGAGACACGGCCCAGACUCCUACGGGAGGCAGCAGUGGGGAAUAUUGCACAAUGGGCGAAAGCCUGAUGCAGCGACGCCGCGUGCGGGAUGACGGCCUUCGGGUUGUAAACCGCUUUCAGCAGGGAAGAAGCGAAAGUGACGGUACCUGCAGAAGAAGCGCCGGCUAACUACGUGCCAGCAGCCGCGGUAAUACGUAGGGCGCGAGCGUUAUCCGGAAUUAUUGGGCGUAAAGAGCUCGUAGGCGGUUUGUCACGUCUGCUGUGAAAGCCCGGGGCUCAACCCCGGGUGUGCAGUGGGUACGGGCAGACUAGAGUGCAGUAGGGGAGACUGGAAUUCCUGGUGUAGCGGUGAAAUGCGCAGAUAUCAGGAGGAACACCGAUGGCGAAGGCAGGUCUCUGGGCUGUUACUGACGCUGAGGAGCGAAAGCAUGGGGAGCGAACAGGAUUAGAUACCCUGGUAGUCCAUGCCGUAAACGUUGGGCACUAGGUGUGGGGAACAUUCCACGUUUUCCGCGCCGUAGCUAACGCAUUAAGUGCCCCGCCUGGGGAGUACGGCCGCAAGGCUAAAACUCAAAGGAAUUGACGGGGGCCCGCACAAGCGGCGGAGCAUGCGGAUUAAUUCGAUGCAACGCGAAGAACCUUACCAAGGCUUGACAUGGACCGGACCGCUGCAGAGAUGCAGUUUCCCUUCGGGGUCGGUUCACAGGUGGUGCAUGGUUGUCGUCAGCUCGUGUCGUGAGAUGUUGGGUUAAGUCCCGCAACGAGCGCAACCCCUAUCCUAUGUUGCCAGCACGUUAUGGUGGGGACUCAUGGGAGACUGCCGGGGUCAACUCGGAGGAAGGUGGGGACGACGUCAAAUCAUCAUGCCCCUUAUGUCUUGGGCUUCACGCAUGCUACAAUGGCCGGUACAAUGGGUUGCGAUACUGUGAGGUGGAGCUAAUCCCUAAAAGCCGGUCUCAGUUCGGAUCGAAGUCUGCAACUCGACUUCGUGAAGUUGGAGUCGCUAGUAAUCGCAGAUCAGCAACGCUGCGGUGAAUACGUUCCCGGGCCUUGUACACACCGCCCGUCAAGUCACGAAAGUGGGUAACACCCGAAGCCGGUGGCCUAACCCUUGUGGGGGGAGCCGUGAAGGGGACCUAG